This 150-nucleotide non-coding RNA is filed under the name Eutreptiella gymnastica. The record is from RNAcentral. Lineage: Eukaryota; Euglenozoa; Euglenophyceae; Eutreptiales; Eutreptiaceae.
ACCUCGUGGAGAGCAAUAAGGAAAAGCUGGUCCGUGCCCAGAGAGAGGAGCAGGAGCGGCAGAUGGAGAAGGCGGCAGAGCAAGCCGGUCAACAGGCUGCAGUCCCUGACCUUGGAUGGAACUCGCACCAGGGAAUCGACCAGCAGAUUG